RNAcentral lists this long non-coding RNA (345 nucleotides) under Equus caballus (horse). RNAcentral describes it as "lncRNA (ENSECAG00000047127.1)". The record is from RNAcentral. Lineage: Eukaryota; Metazoa; Chordata; Mammalia; Perissodactyla; Equidae.
GAAGAAAAGUCUAUACAAGAAUAGACAUACAGAGAGAAUGCCGUGUACUGACAGAGGCAGAGAUUGGAGUGAUGCAGCUGUAAACCAAGGAAUGUCAAAGAUCAACGGCCACCACCAGAAGCUGGGAAGAGUUUAGAGAGUUCGUUGUUCCAGAUACUCGUCCACUGACAGACGUGUGGCUUGCAAAUAUUUUGUCUCAGUCUCCAGCUUGUGUUUUUAUUCUCUUAACAGGAUCUUUUGCAGAGCAAAAGUUUUUAAAAUUUCUGAGGCCAAAUUUAUCAAAUUUUCUUUUUUUUUUUUUUUUUUUUUUUAAAGAUUUUAUUUUAUUUUUUCCUUUUUCUCCCC